Molecule: long non-coding RNA, 225 nt
Organism: Myiozetetes cayanensis
Lineage: Eukaryota; Metazoa; Chordata; Aves; Passeriformes; Tyrannidae
Exons: 2
Source: RefSeq, a predicted model, not a curated record
CUCCCCCCUGGCCGCAGCGUUUUUGCUCGUGGUUCCGAGAAAAGGGCCGGAAAGCCGAGACUCGGUGUGGGGAGUGCUGGGGUGGGCUCGGCAGCCGGGUUGAAGCGGGAGCCGCCCCGGCCCCUCUGCUGCCGCCGCGGAGCCGCCGGGCCCGACCUUGUCCCGUUGCUGCGGUUGGUGUGGAGCUGCUCAAGGUGCUCAUAGACGAGCUCAGGAAGCGAGCAG